RNAcentral lists this ribosomal RNA (559 nucleotides) under uncultured Desulfovibrio sp. RNAcentral describes it as "bacterial SSU rRNA". It matches the Rfam family "Bacterial small subunit ribosomal RNA", at positions 242 to 792 of the family's 1533-position model. The record is from RNAcentral. Lineage: Bacteria; Pseudomonadati; Thermodesulfobacteriota; Desulfovibrionia; Desulfovibrionales; Desulfovibrionaceae.
UACCUUUGGUGGGGUAACGGCAUACCAAGGCAACGAUGGGAUAGCCGAUCUGAGAGGAUGAUCGGCCACACUGGAACUGAAACACGGUCCAGACUCCUACGGGAGGCAGCAGUGGGGAAUAUUGCGCAAUGGGCGAAAGCCUGACGCAACGACGCCGCGUGAGGGAUGAAGGUCUUCGGAUCGUAAACCUCUGUCAGAAGGGAAGAAACUAGGGUGCUCUAAUCAUCAUCCUACUGACGGUACCUUCAAAGGAAGCACCGGCUAACUCCGUGCCAGCAGCCGCGGUAAUACGGAAGGUGCAAGCGUUAAUCGGAAUCAAUGGGCGUAAAGCGCACGUAGGCUGUUAUGUAAGUCAGGGGUGAAAUCCCACGGCUCAACCGUGGAACUGCCCUUGAUACUGCAUGACUUGAAUCCGGGAGAGGGUGGCGGAAUUCCAGGUGUAGGAGUGAAAUCCGUACAUAUCAGGAGGAACAUCAGUGGCGAAGGCAGCCACCUGGACCGGUAUUGGACGCUGAAGGUGCGAAAGCGUGGGGAGCAAACAGGAUAAGAUACACUGGNA